This 2217-nucleotide long non-coding RNA is filed under the name Felis catus (domestic cat). RNAcentral describes it as "lncRNA (ENSFCAG00000041590.2)". Lineage: Eukaryota; Metazoa; Chordata; Mammalia; Carnivora; Felidae. The record is from RNAcentral.
AAUAAUCUCAAUUUUAUGGAAAGACAUGGAGAUUCUUUCAGAAAAUCCCUGAAAUUCUCAUUGCUGCUAUCAAGUUUACAUUAUUUUAAUAUAAAUUUUAUUUCUCUUCUCAUCGCUACUAUGAUAGGGUAAAAACUAAUGGUAAAGUAUGUCAAAACACCUAGGCUUCAGUAACAACAAAACAAAAUCAACUAAUUCCGUGAGUGGUACAGCAAUUAUUGUUUUCAGAGUAGGUUUCUUAAUUUAUGAAGAAUGUGUAACACAAGUACAUAUAUAGGCUAUCUACAAACAUAAUGCAAAAUAAUGAAUACUCAACAGAUCCCUUCACAAUUGUGUGAACAGUGGACAGAAAACAGUUGGCAAGGAAUGUACAUUGAGAUUGUCGAAUACCAUUUUCCAAGAUUUGAAGAAAAAUACUGACUACAACCAGCAUUUAAGACCCCAGGAAACGUCACUGUUUUUUCUUCAGAGAGCAUAGGAUUUGGAUCUACCAAAGCGCAUGGAUUAAUAUCUUGAUAUAUACAUUUAAUGGAAUAUAUGAAGGAGUUCCCUACUAUGCACUGCAAGAUGGCCCAGGCUCUUCCAGCCAAGGUGUGGAAAUAGGCUCUUCCGCUCUGCUGACGUGCUGGCCUGGACAGACACAUGGGUUUCAGGGCCACCCUGACUGGAGGAGGCUGUGGAGAUGGAGGCUGCUUGGCCUGCUGUGGAGGCUGUGGGGAUGGGGUGGCCCUAUCCCACUGCCUGGUGUCUACAACUUCUUCAAGUCCCGGAAGACCACUGUCCAUCCAAGGCUCCCACCACUCCAGGAGGGAAACCAUCGCUGAUUGCAAUGAACUCUGUCUCCAAUUUUUGUGACAGGCAUCUGAGAAUUAUGGCACAAGCAUUUACCCUCUUGUUCACAUCAAACUGUUCCUUCUGUUCUUGGAAUAAUUCAGAAGAUAUGAUAUUUGAGCAAUGCAUGCUUAAAGGACAAAGGAAAUUUUUAUUGAUGUCAAUGGUAGUGACCUCUUGUUUUUGAAAGAAAGGCCUAACCCUUUAGACCAUCUCUAAAGCCAAUAUGGACACUGCUUUAAAGGCAAACAACAUGACUCACUCAUUGAAUUGAGGAAUUUCAAAACUCACAUGGAUACUGAAAUUUUACCCCAAUUAUUUCAUAUUAUGUCUUAGGAAACUAAGUCUUCAAGAAAUUACAAUUUUCUCAAAGGCACACAGUUUAGUUGCUAGAAAUUUUAUUCUCUACAUGAUAAUAGAUUUAUGAAUACAUCAAUUUUACUGACAUUCCUUUUCUUCAGCACAAAUCAGUUUUGUGUGAAGUUGUUCAGUACAGAAAAUAUUCUAAUUUAGAGGUCGAUUUGGGAAAGGGGUAGAAAUAUAUGUUUUCCAGCCUAUCGCUGCCAACAGCUUAAUGUGUCCAGUGAUGGGUAUGAGGCAGUCUGGUGUUCUUUCUCACAUAUUGACUCCUACUCAACCAUUUUUCUUAGUGUUUUUCAUGGACUUUCCCCAGGGAAAUGGAACAAUAGAUCACAGACCUUGGAAAAUUGUUUCUCACUCUUGUCAAUUUUCCUGCAUGAGUUUUUGAAAGAUAAAACAAAUCCUUGAUAAAACAGUACACAUUUUUUCUUUUGCAACUUCAAGCUUUUCAUUUAGCACCAGUGUCUCUAUUUUCUUUGUAACCCAUGUCUUACAGAUCGUAGGUUCCUAAAUUUUAUGGGAAAAAAAGCCAGUCUUAUAAACUCCUUCACACUGUGAACUAAUAAUUCAUGAUACGAAUGUUAGUGAUGUUUGUAUUUAAAAGACAGACUAGAUGAAGAAACUUUUUGUUUAAAUAGUAAAAUUUCAGAUGUUAGUGUCAGAAGGUGUUGGAUGAUGUAUGGAUAUAAUACAGAGCUAAAUGGGGUAGAGACUUGUAAUUUUUACCUGUCAUCACUACUGAAAAAUCACCAAAGCUGUUCAUUUCAGAGGUGAUCAUUUGAUCAUAGACUUGAAUAAGUUGCUGUGUUUCAGCUUUCUGUUAUAUUAUUUAAAAAGUUAUGAUGGCAAACAUCAUUUGAUAGAUCAGUUGAUAAAAUACCCAUCACUCCUCUUAUCUUUUAAAUUUAGCAGACACUAAUUUAGAAUUGACUAAGUGCCAGGCACUUUUCCAAGUACUUUCCAAAUAUUAACUGUGUAGUUCUUAUUGAAAAUAAAGUUUUUUGAUAUACGUCCUAUUAUUAACUC